This 538-nucleotide ribosomal RNA is filed under the name uncultured bacterium. RNAcentral describes it as "bacterial SSU rRNA". It matches the Rfam family "Bacterial small subunit ribosomal RNA", at positions 355 to 873 of the family's 1533-position model. The record is from RNAcentral.
UGGGGAAUAUUGCGCAAUGGGGGGAACCCUGACGCAGCCAUGCCGCGUGAAUGAAGAAGGCCUUAGGGUUGUAAAGUUCUUUCGGUAUUGAGGAAGGUUGAUGUGUUAAUAGCACAUCAAAUUGACGUUAAAUACAGAAGAAGCACCGGCUAACUCCGUGCCAGCAGCCGCGGUAAUACGGAGGGUGCGAGCGUUAAUCGGAAUAACUGGGCGUAAAGGGCACGCAGGCGGUUAUUUAAGUGAGGUGUGAAAGCCCCGGGCUUAACCUGGGAAUUGCAUUUCAGACUGGGUAACUAGAGUACUUUAGGGAGGGGUAGAAUUCCACGUGUAGCGGUGAAAUGCGUAGAGAUGUGGAGGAAUACCGAAGGCGAAGGCAGCCCCUUGGGAAUGUACUGACGCUCAUGUGCGAAAGCGUGGGGAGCAAACAGGAUUAGAUACCCUGGUAGUCCACGCUGUAAACGCUGUCGAUUUGGGGGUUGGGGUUUAACUCUGGCGCCCGUAGCUNNACCCCCGNGGGGGGGGNGNGGGCCGCAAGGUU